AUUGAACGCUGGCGGCAUGCCUUACACAUGCAAGUCGAACGGCAGCACAGGAGAGCUUGCUCUCUGGGUGGCGAGUGGCGGACGGGUGAGGAAUACAUCGGAAUCUACCUUUUCGUGGGGGAUAACGUAGGGAAACUUACGCUAAUACCGCAUAAGACCUUCGGGUGAAAGCCGGGACCUUCGGCCGUGGCGCGGAUAGA
Molecule: ribosomal RNA, 200 nt
Filed under: uncultured bacterium
Lineage: Bacteria
Description: partial 16S ribosomal RNA
Rfam family: Bacterial small subunit ribosomal RNA
Source: RNAcentral